Molecule: long non-coding RNA, 822 nt
Organism: Cyclopterus lumpus (lumpfish)
Lineage: Eukaryota; Metazoa; Chordata; Actinopteri; Perciformes; Cyclopteridae
Exons: 2
Source: RefSeq, a predicted model, not a curated record
AGCUGGUGCAGCAGAGACUGUUUUCUUUUUUAUCAAAGGCUCGUCAUCUGAAGAAUCAUCCGAAGCUACAACAGAAGAAGAUUGCUGGAUCUGUGCCCGUUUCCACGUGACUGUUUCCCCUUCCUGCCUGGCUUCUUCACGAGCGGCACGUCAUCAUCAGAGCAAGAGCCACUGUUUCCUAAUCAUAGACCGGAUGGGAUGAAUACCAGGAAUUACACCUCACGUUUGGCCUGGUAAAAGCUAUCAUAAAAGUUGGACAGUAUAUUCAGACCCAUUAAACUCCCCAUUUUCUAGUUUGCGUAUCCAGAUUUGACUUUACUGUAAGUGUUUUCCAGUACCUGGCGCCAAUGCAUCAGUUGACUCAGCAAUGUUAUACAACUGUAGCGAACUACACUUUUAACAGAUAAUGAAUGAUUGAAAACUAGGCAUGCAUUUUUUUGGUACAAAUUUGGUAAAUCAUGUCAAAUUGUUUCCCCAGCGUCUAUCUACAGAUAAAUGCAGUAAAUGUUUCCUUCAUACUUUAAAAACUGGACGUCUGUAAAGGCCAGGCACAUCAGGUAAAUGUUAGAGAUUAUGUUUGUAAUGGGAUUACUUUUCAUGGCAUCAACCUUAAAAGGAAAUAAGUUUAAGAAAUGAAAAUGACGAGCUAUGAAGGUUCCUGGGUGGAGUGAAACCAGUUAUGUCACAUGUUAACAGUAUGGGUCUUAAAGCAAUUAACCAUUCAGACAUCCAUAUAUGUGAUUACUAUUGGGAUAUCAGAUAUGUGAUCAUUGUUCUGCACUAAUUACUAACUUGACCAUUAAAGACCAAAGUUGAUCUGAA